UGGCCAAGGAUGAGAACUCUAACCUGACU
This 29-nucleotide non-coding RNA is filed under the name Mus musculus (house mouse). Lineage: Eukaryota; Metazoa; Chordata; Mammalia; Rodentia; Muridae. RNAcentral also lists the same sequence under 1 other name. The record is from RNAcentral.